This 93-nucleotide transfer RNA is filed under the name Chelatococcus reniformis. RNAcentral's name for it is "tRNA-Arg". The record is from RNAcentral. Lineage: Bacteria; Pseudomonadati; Pseudomonadota; Alphaproteobacteria; Hyphomicrobiales; Chelatococcaceae.
UCGCACCAUCGCCGAGUUCCGGCGGCGGCAUCUUGCGGCGCUGUCGGAGCUUUUCGUGCAGGUUCUGAGGCUGUGCCAGUCCGCCGGUCUGGU